Molecule: ribosomal RNA, 454 nt
Filed under: uncultured bacterium
Lineage: Bacteria
Description: bacterial SSU rRNA
Rfam family: Bacterial small subunit ribosomal RNA
Source: RNAcentral
UACGGAAGGCAGCAGUGGGGAAUAUUGCACAAUGGGCGCAAGCCUGAUGCAGCCAUGCCGCGUGUAUGAAGAAGGCCUUCGGGUUGUAAAGUACUUUCAGUCGUGAGGAAGGUGUUAAGGUUAAUAACCUUAGCAAUUGACGUUAGCGACAGAAGAAGCACCGGCUAACUCCGUGCCAGCAGCCGCGGUAAUACGGAGGGUGCGAGCGUUAAUCGGAAUUACUGGGCGUAAAGGGCACGCAGGCGGCUAAUUAAGUUGGAUGUGAAAUCCCCGGGCUUAACCUGGGAAUGGCAUUCAAGACUGGUUAGCUAGAGUCUUGUAGAGGGGGUAGAAUUCCAUGUGUAGCGGUGAAAUGCGUAGAGAUGUGGAGGAAUACCGGUGGCGAAGGCGGCCCCUGGGACAAAGACUGACGCUCAUGUGCGAAAGCGUGGGGAGCAAACAGGAUUAGGAUACC